UACGUAGGGUGCGAGCGUUAAUCGGAAUUACUGGGCGUAAAGCGUGCGCAGGCGGUUUUGUAAGCCAGAUGUGAAAGCCCCGGGCUCAACCUGGGAACUGCAUUUGGGACUGCAAGGCUUGAGUACGGCAGAGGGGGGUAGAAUUCCUGGUGUAGCAGUGAAAUGCGUAGAUAUCAGGAGGAAUACCGAUGGCGAAGGCAGCCCCCUGGGUCGAUACUGACGCUCAUGCACGAAAGCGUGGGGAGCAAACAGG
This 253-nucleotide ribosomal RNA is filed under the name uncultured bacterium. RNAcentral describes it as "partial 16S ribosomal RNA". It matches the Rfam family "Bacterial small subunit ribosomal RNA", at positions 524 to 776 of the family's 1533-position model. The record is from RNAcentral.